RNAcentral lists this transfer RNA (78 nucleotides) under Micromonospora sp. AKA38. Its description in RNAcentral is "tRNA-Asp". The record is from RNAcentral. Lineage: Bacteria; Bacillati; Actinomycetota; Actinomycetes; Micromonosporales; Micromonosporaceae.
CGGCCCGGUGGACCGGUCCCAGGCCAAGGCCGCCGUCGCCGGGCUGCGCCCCACCGGUUUCACCCCGGUCGGGCUGGC